UACGAAUUCAUAUAACCUCAAUGUGCUUAUAACUUGUAAGGAAACAAGAAAGAAAAAAUUAAAUGAAAUAUAUUAUUGAUGAAUUAUGUAAAGGCAUACCAUUUGUUUUAUUUAACUGUCUUCUCAGAAAUAUACAUUAAACAGAAAAACAGAGAUGAUGAUUGAUGUUAUGGAUUUUUUCAAUGUUACAAGUUAUACAUACUUUGGAAAAUAAUAAUUGUUCGGGAUGGUACAGGAUGGUAACAGUUGGUGUUUGGCAGUCGAUGCGAAUGCAUCUGGAUCAAGAAUAUUGUUAACGUAUUUGUUGAAGUUGUAUAAAUCCAAUUUCGCAUUAAUUUUAGUGCCAGUUUAUAGAAAAAUGAGAAUAAUGGAUACGUAUAUUGAAUAUAAAACAAAACAUAAUGAAAAUUACUGUUCCAAAGGAGCACUAAUGCAGUACAGGAUUUUAGUUGUUAAAGAAGGAAUAACAUAUAUUUAUUGAAAACAUUAUUGAUGUGUUUGAUCACCUGAAGGAAAUCUUGAAUGAACAUAAUUCUGAGUUUCAAAAAUGAUUUUAACAUAAAUCGGUUAAAUUAAGAGAUGAACCUAUCCUAAGUUUUAAACAUGUUCUAUUGAAAGAGAAUGAAAUGAUCUGAUUAUCAAAAGUAUCCGUGUUGUGGACUCUUUUGCUGCUGCAAAUAUAGAUCUCUUGGAAAGACACUGUUUCCGAAGGUAACAGAUUUAUCACUGUACUUCAAUGAUAAUGAGACAAGUUUUGAUACAUGUAGAAGAAAUAAUUUAGACCGCCUCUGAUAUAAACACCUUUAUGAGGGUUAACAAUAUUGUUAAUUUAACCAGCAAGCCUGAAUUCCAGGAGAUUUAAAAAAUUUAGAAAAUCCAGAUUUUUUCUGUCUGCAAUAGACUAUCCUGAGUAUUUUGAGUACAGAACCUCACAGUGGACCACCUCAACUGGAAGUAACCUUCGGAGUACGAAUAAGGAAGAUGAAAUAUCUGAGCAUGAAUAUUUUAGUCAUGUAAAAAGCGAAUUGCCUG
Ctenocephalides felis (cat flea) is the source of this 1032-nucleotide long non-coding RNA. RefSeq lists it as uncharacterized. The transcript has 6 exons. The record is from RefSeq and is a predicted model, not a curated record. NCBI's taxonomy places the organism in Eukaryota, Metazoa, Arthropoda, Insecta, Siphonaptera, Pulicidae.